GAUACAACCAUUCUGACUGUUUUCCUUCUCGUGGUCAUUAUUGGUUUGGUUGUUUAAAUCAGAAAACUUCAAGCAGCUCUGAAUGAAGAACAGAAAACACAUCAUCAGGAGAAUCCAGCCUCUGAUGAACUGAACUACGCAGCACUGAAUUUCCGUCAAAAAGAAAGACAAAGAGAAGUGGAGCCAAACGUUGUGUAUUCUGCUACUAGAUAGACUGAAGAAGCAACAAACACAGGUCAGAGCAAACUGAGGACUGAUUUAUAACAAGCUGCGAAUAAACAGUGACAGAUGCUUAUCAGAAUCUAUGUUUUUUUGCCAAAACAAACCUAGUAUCAUAUUUUAUUCUCUAUUUGUUUUUGUGACGAUAGAAAAUAAAGUAUAUACAACAUUUCUACAUGUACUAAAGCAGGAAUAACUGUGAACCAGCACCCAUCUAGUUUUACCUGUUUAUUUGUGUCUAAAAUAAAUACUAACACAUAUUUUGUUCCAUUAGUUUGUGUAACGCUGUGCUGUGGUUAGAAAACUGCACUGCCUGUAUUAGACUCAACCACUAAACUAAUGACCUUCAGCUGGUCAUGUUCUCUCCUGUUGUAUUUCAUCAUUGUCAUUGUGUUAGUCUCCAAUAGUGCAAAGAAACACCCAACCUCCAUGUAGACGCCAGCCCUAGUGGCCUAGUGUGGUUUGCUGGGUAGCUAGAGCUGAGUUUUAAGAGGAGGAAGGUGAGUGGUGAGUAAAUGGGCCCCAGGACAGAAACAAAGGGUCCUCCUCUAGUGAUGAGAUAGUGAGAAUGGGAAGAAUUUUAAAUCAAUGAACUGAGUGGAGGCUGAGAGAGAAGAGUGAGACCAGUGUAGGGGUGUGUGAGUGAUACCAAUGGAGGAAAAUCUUUUUCGAAUGUCAUCAGCAAUUGUAUCAAAAGCUGCACUCAGAUCAAGAACAGUGAGAACGGACCCCAAACCAGAGUCAGCUGUUAUGAGGAGGUCAUUUGACAUUUUCUUAAGGGCCGUUUCUUUACUGCUGGGACAGAAACCAGUCUGGAAAGGUUCAUACAGACAAUCUGGGGUUAAGUGGAAGAGGCAUUGGGUGGCGACUACUUUUCUGGUAGUUUGGAAAUAAACGCUAGGUUAGAAAUUGGCCCUAGUUUAUUGCAGUUGUUUGGAGUGAAACCAGGUUGUGUCAGUUUUGAGCUGAGAGGAGCUGUUCUGAGGGGCUUGGAAACAAUUCCAGUGGUGAGUGAGUGAGGACUCUAAAUGGCAGCAAUGAAGUGAAACAAAGAUGAGACAAGAUUUAACCAAGGCUGUGGAGAGAAAUGAGAACGUAUCAGGAGACAUCUGACAAGUAUCAAAAUGUGACAAAUGUUAUCAUAUGAGCAGAUUAUUUAACUUGACUCAGCUCUAUUACAUUUGUUGUAUUUGUUAAAAAAACAGUAAUGACACAUGAUGAUGUAA
Molecule: long non-coding RNA, 1445 nt
Organism: Betta splendens (Siamese fighting fish)
Lineage: Eukaryota; Metazoa; Chordata; Actinopteri; Anabantiformes; Osphronemidae
Exons: 3
Source: RefSeq, a predicted model, not a curated record